UGGGAACGUACCCUUUGGUUCGGAACAACCCAGGGAAACUUGGGCUAAUACCGGAUACGUCCGUAAGGAGAAAGAUUUAUCGCCAAGGGAUCGGCCCGCGUCUGAUUAGCUAGUUGGUGGGGUAAUGGCCACCAAGGCUACGAUCAGUAGCUGGUCUGAGAGGAUGAUCAGCCACAUUGGGACUGAGACACGGCCCAAACUCCUACGGGAGGCAG
RNAcentral lists this ribosomal RNA (215 nucleotides) under uncultured bacterium. RNAcentral describes it as "partial 16S ribosomal RNA". It matches the Rfam family "Bacterial small subunit ribosomal RNA", at positions 118 to 351 of the family's 1533-position model. The record is from RNAcentral.